RNAcentral lists this ribosomal RNA (467 nucleotides) under uncultured bacterium. Its description in RNAcentral is "bacterial SSU rRNA". It matches the Rfam family "Bacterial small subunit ribosomal RNA", at positions 27 to 487 of the family's 1533-position model. The record is from RNAcentral.
GAUUGAACGCUAGCGGCAUGCCUUACACAUGCAAGUCGAACGGCAUCGGGGGAGCUUGCUCCUGCCGGCGAGUGGCGAACGGGUGAGUAACACAUCGGAACGUACCCAGUAGCGGGGGAUAGCCCGGCGAAAGCCGGAUUAAUACCGCAUACGCCCUAAGGGGGAAAGGGGGGGAUCGCAAGACCUCUCACUAUUGGAGCGGCCGAUGGCUGAUUAGCUAGUUGGUGGGGUAAAGGCCUACCAAGGCAACGAUCAGUAGCUGGUCUGAGAGGACGACCAGCCACACUGGGACUGAGACACGGCCCAGACUCCUACGGGAGGCAGCAGUGGGGAAUUUUGGACAAUGGGCGAAAGCCUGAUCCAGCAAUGCCGCGUGUGCGAAGAAGGCCUUCGGGUUGUAAAGCACUUUUGUCAGGGAAGGAAUCGUUCGGGCCAAUACCCCGGGCAGUUGACGGUACCUGGAGAAU